This 255-nucleotide ribosomal RNA is filed under the name uncultured bacterium. Its description in RNAcentral is "partial 16S ribosomal RNA". It matches the Rfam family "Bacterial small subunit ribosomal RNA", at positions 99 to 354 of the family's 1533-position model. The record is from RNAcentral.
CGGACGGGUGAGUAACGCGUGGAAAACCUGCCGUAUACUGGGGGAUAACACUUAGAAAUAGGUGCUAAUACCGCAUAAGCGCACAGCUUCGCAUGAAGCGGUGUGAAAAACUCUGGUGGUAUACGAUGGUUCCGCGUCUGAUUAGCUAGUUGGUGGGGUAAUGACCUACCAAGGCAACGAUCAGUAGCCGGCCUGAGAGGGUGAACGGCCACAUUGGGACUGAGACACGGCCCAAACUCCUACGGGAGGCAGCAG